Nelumbo nucifera (sacred lotus) is the source of this 1139-nucleotide non-coding RNA. NCBI's taxonomy places the organism in Eukaryota, Viridiplantae, Streptophyta, Magnoliopsida, Proteales, Nelumbonaceae. The record is from RefSeq and is a predicted model, not a curated record.
AGGUAGUCCUAACUCCUAAGCUUCCUUUGAACAUGGAAACUGAACCAUAAAAAAAGAUCCAAACAGUGAUAAUGGAGAAGUUGGUGCGAUGGCGGGAGAAGGAACCUGCAUAUUCUGUCAGAUCGCUCGUUCUUCCACUUCUACCACUCUCCUCCACUCCGAUGAGAAGGUCGUUGCCUUUCAAGAUAUCAGGCCUUCUGCGUUCAGGCAUUAUCAGGUGAUUCCUGUGGAGCACAUUUCAACUAUCAAUGACCUCCAAAGGAGAGAGGAAGAUUAUCUUUUGGUAAGUCACAUGCUGAGUGUGGGGAAAUCUCUACUACACAGAGAUGCACCUCAGUCCAUUGAGUACAGUCUUCCAUUUUCACCCUUCUCAGGUUUGGCUUUCAUGCCCCUCCAUUCAACAGCGUUAACCAUCUCCAUCUCCAUUGUUUGGCACUUCCUUUCAUACCCAAAGCUUUGAACAGAUGGAAACAUGUAAAAUACAUGUCUUUGGGACCUCUGGGAUUCAUCAAGGCUGAGAAGUUGAUGGAGAAGAUAAAGCCAUAAAAUAUAUUCAGUCAAUAAUGUGACUACUUCCAAUUGUUGUUGCUUAAGUUGCAUCAAGCAAUGGUUGAUAUUUUACCGAUCUCUAUAAUGAGGCCAUGUGAUGGAUGUCACAAGUCCUUUACCUUGUAAUACAUUGAACGUAACAAAUUGGUUGCUGCAUUUCGUCCUUCCAUGAUGAACUUAAAGAGUUAGAGGUAAAGUUAUCAAGAAUUGAAAUUAGUGUAGGUGCCAGUUCUUGUGUCAUUUUAAAAUUGUCAGAUUGAAAGCCACUUGAACCAUGCUUGAUUUUGGAUUAGUAUGAAUUAUUUUUGCCACAAAAUGGCAAUUAAAAGGAAUUAUUUUUGGUGACAGCCCUUAUCCCUUGAUCACCCUAAGUGCCAAGGUUCAAAAUUUCGCAAUGUAUAGGACCAUAUCAGCCGAUACAUAUCGUUCUGGUACAAGUCCGAUACACAGAACACAUAGAAAUUAUCUGUAGCGUUCCUUUUCGUAUGUAUCGAACUGUUUUGGGCCAUGUAUCGGACUGUUUCAGGUCUGUAUCGGCCGAUACGGUUCCGAAACAGUCCGAUACAGCCUGAUACAAGUCCCCUUCUCUC